This 459-nucleotide ribosomal RNA is filed under the name uncultured bacterium. RNAcentral's name for it is "partial 16S ribosomal RNA". It matches the Rfam family "Bacterial small subunit ribosomal RNA", at positions 338 to 795 of the family's 1533-position model. The record is from RNAcentral.
CCUACGGGUGGCAGCAGUGAGGAAUAUUGGUCAAUGGGCGCGAGCCUGAACCAGCCAAGCCGCGUGAGGGAAGACGGUCCUAUGGAUUGUAAACCUCUUUUGUCGGGGAGAAAAAGACGCCACGCGUGGCGGUCGGAGAGUACCCGAAGAAAAAGCAUCGGCUAACUCCGUGCGAGCAGCCGCGGUAAUACGGAGGAUGCGAGGGUUAUAGGGAUGUAUUGGGUUAAAGGGGUGCGCAGGCGGAAGAUCAAGACAGCGGUAAAAUCGCGGGGCUAAACCGCUUCGAGCCGUUGAAACUGGUUUUCUUGAGUGAGAGAGAAGUAUGCGGAAUGCGUGGUGUAGCGGUGAAAUGCAUAGAUAUCACGCAGAACACCGAUUGCGAAGGCAGCAUACCGGCGCUCAACUGACGCUGAUGCACGAAAGUGUGGGUAUCGAACAGGAUUAGAUACCCUGGUAGUC